RNAcentral lists this ribosomal RNA (473 nucleotides) under uncultured bacterium. Its description in RNAcentral is "bacterial SSU rRNA". It matches the Rfam family "Bacterial small subunit ribosomal RNA", at positions 355 to 825 of the family's 1533-position model. The record is from RNAcentral.
UGGGGAAUAUUGCGCAAUGGGCGAAAGCCUGACGCAGCAACGCCGCGUGAGUGAUGAAGGCCUUCGGGUCGUAAAGCUCUGUCGGAGGGAACGAAUGCUCUUGAGGUUAACAGCCUCGGGAGGUGACGGUACCCUCAAAGGAAGCACCGGCUAACUCUGUGCCAGCAGUCGCGGUAAUACAGAGGCCACAAGCGUUAGUCGGAAUCACUGGGCUUAAAGGGUGCGUAGGCGGGCCCGCAAGCGUCUUGUGAAAUCCCAUGGCUCAACCAUGGAAUUGCAGGGCGAACUGCGGGUCUUGAGGCAGGUAGGGGCCGGAAGAACAGUAGGUGGAGCGGUGAAAUGCGUAGAUAUCUACUGGAAUGCCGAUGGGGAAGCCGUCCGGCUGGGCCUGUCCUGACGCUGAGGCACGAAAGCGUGGGGAGCAAACAGGAUUAGAUACCCCAGUAGUCCCUGAGCGGGCUGGCAAGGCGCAU